CCAAGUUUCCAACCCAUCUUCCUCUGCCGGUCUGAUUUAUUGCAGACGUAUUGUUCUCAUUUACAGGUAUCAAAUUUAUUAUUCACAUGUUUGCUUUUACUUUCUUGUUAGUUUCAUUUGAUUUCCCCCCUUUUUUCUGUUCCUCUUAAAUCUGCUUUAAUUUUANNNNNNNNNNNNNNNNNNNNNNNNNNNNNNNNNNNNNNNNNNNNNNNNNNNNNNNNNNNNNNNNNNNNNNNNNNNNNNNNNNNNNNNNNNNNNNNNNNNNAUAUGGAUGUCAGAUUUUUAGGGUUAGGGCGUUUGGCAACAGCUAAUACUCCCUCAGUUCCACAAAAUCUCAUUUGCCAAUUUUUUUAUUUCGUAAAAAGAUUUCCUUUUAUUGAUAGUAGUAUAAAAUGACAUAAUAUUCUGAUGUAGUAGUUGAUAAAACUGUAUAAUAAGAGCUUAUUAAAAUAGAGACCUCUAUAAAAUAGAGGCUCUUAUUAAAUAUAUAAAAAGUUGUUUGAUAACUAAUCUAUCUAUUUUACUCUUAGAUCAAUUUAUACAAACUUAAAAUAAAAUCACCAAGAGUGUAUAACUAAUAAAGUAUUUCAAGUCUAAUAAAAUAUUGGUGGUGGUGGUGAAGAUGGGUGGUUGUGGUGGUGGAUGGUGGUGGUGGGUGGUGGUGGUGAAUGGUGGUGGUGAAGUGAAGAAUUAACAAAAAAUAAAGUGAAGGUAGUGUUGAUUGAUUUCACAAUUAAUAUAUGCGUGCAAGUAUAGACGGUCAACAAGUAAUAAAGUGAAAGUAAAGUAUCGUUCUUACAAGGAAUUAUUAAUAACAGUUACCAAGUACUAAUUCUUAACUAAACUAAUUUUAUUUAAACAAUCCAUUUAAGGUUUUGAAUUAAGUUAUUUAAUUAAAUUAAUUCUAAUUACCACUAGUUAAAGAUCAGAUUAUGGAGAUUUAAGAUCACAACUUCACUUAUUGCUUCACUUAAAUUAAUACACUUCUUAUCAAUUAUGCUUAUUAUUCUGAAUUGUUAAUCAAGAACACAUAAAUAAACAUGAGCAUCUCUCAAUGUAUCAUACUUAAAUCAACUUAAAUCCAUAGAUGAUAGAACUAAGAAGAACACCUUAAUUAACUAAUUCACUAUAUCUCUAUGUGAAUUAUAAUUAAAGAGGAUUUAAAGCACAAGUUCUUUAUCAGAUUACAUGCGGUAUAUAGGUAUAUUUCUAUCUUAGACACAAAUCAUGAAUUCCAACGCCAUGCAAAAAACAUAAUCACAUACUAUUAUGAUCAGAUUUAAAUCUAUAAUCCAUCUCUCGAGUUCAUAUAGAUUAUCACAGUAAUUGCUAGCUAGAUAAUUAAACAAAUAAAUCCAAAUCACAAUAGACAAUCCCUAAAAUAGAUUACAAUAAUUAAUAAAGAAACAUACUAAAAUAAGCUACGCAAGAAGCUCCGUUGUAAUCUUAAACAAAAGAAUUAGUUCAUAAUUAUUGAAUUAAAACAAAAAAUCCACAACUGAAUAAACAUUAAAAGAUAAAAAUAAGGGUAAAGAAGAGAAUAGAAUUUGUUGUCAGCAAAUCUAAUGCUCCCUCUUGCUCCUGCUCUUGAUCUUCAAUGGUUUCCAAGUUGUUUCAAUCUCCAAUCCAAUCCCAACUAGGGUUUUGUCAUACUCUAAUCUAAUCUAAUGGAAUGGAAUCCCCCCUAAUCCUUGUGAAUACUCCUCCUUUUAUAUCCCUAUUCAUGUGUCUUUUAGUCCUUUUUAAAGUCCUUCAAGUCUUCAGCUCAAACAAAUCCUUUUUAGAUCAACUUUUGAAUAUUUUUCUUUCUUCCCGACUACUUCGCCCGACGGAGUUGUUACACUAGGAAACUCCGCACCGGUGCAUGAACAGUACCAGAAAUUACAAAAACGCUAUUAAGCUCCAUUUUCAUGUUUUGACCCUCCGAAGUUGUUUCUUACAACACAAACACAAAAAUAAGUAAAAUGACACUAAAAAUACUUAAAGUUAACAAAGAAUUAAGCCUUAACGGUGUUCAAUUCAUAGGUAUAAAACCCACUCAUCAGGUAGUAAGGGUAAAAGUGAAAUGAGAGCCUCUUUUUCUAAAAAGACUUGGUUCAUUGUCUUUUUUUGAAGAGCCAAAAAGAGGUUGAGUAAAUUUUUUAUCAAACAAGAUAGACUUUGAGCCAAUAAGAGGUUAGGUCAAAAAGAGGUAAAAGAGCUUAUCAAAACUACCUUGUCUAUCCUAAUUUCGUUAUCGUGUCACCACCACUAGACUAACAACUUAUUAAUUAACAAAAAUAUAUUUUUAAUAUUUGUAAAUUUUAUGAAUGUGACUCUUUUGUGGUACUUAGGGUGUAUUAAUCUUUACUGAUUCCAAUGUACUUCCCAUCUUUUGCUGAAAAAGAUUACCUAACCUUUUUAUUUAAUUUACAGUUAAUAACGUAUGCAUUCAAUCGCUACGUAAUGGAAUGAAUCCAAAGACCAGAACAGGGGAAAAAAUUUCUGUUGCAAAAACAAGUUGUUUGUAAGCAAGGAAACUUGGAGAAAAAACAUUUGACCUAUUUUUCCUAGAAAAUGAUUUUCUUUUUAUAAGAUAAUUUCUGUUGAAAUAAACAGAGCCUAAAGAUGAAGGCUUGUCAAAAUCAUCUUGUGGUAGGACCUUGAAUUCUAGAUAUAACAUAUGAUUUUAGAAUUAGGGUUACAAAUCGAAAGAUAAAUAUAGAUGUGCUCUAGUUUGGUUGGCUCUGUUUUAAUUAAAUCAUAAACUCAAUGUGCAUGUAAACUCAAGGUGCAAUACGGGCAUCUGCAUAUACAUGUAGGACUCAAUAUAUAAGGAAUUAACAAAGAUGUUGAGAUGAUGAACUGAAACUAGUAAACCAUUUUUAUACUUAAAGAAAGGAGCUCCAUUGACUCCAUAUACAAUAAAAGAGCUGAAACUAAGCUAGGAUACCACUUUUUAUGGUAGCGUUUCACGGUUGCAUAAACUCAAGAGCUGGAAUGAAGAGAUGGAGACAAUAUAGCAGGUAAACUGAUGACUCUAUGAUGCCUUGGUUGUUUUAUUUUGGAUGCUGAUUAUUUGUCGUGUAGUUUAAUUUAGAUUGAUUCAACCUCAUCUUUGCUUUGGCAGAAAAGAGAGUUCUCUAUGGAAGUACAAUAGAAAUGAGGUAAUUUUUUGAAUUGUCAUUAUUAACUUGCUUAGCUAAUUUAUCAGCACUAGCUAUUUGCGUACAUUUCUUACAUAGAUGCUGAUCUUAAACCGAGAUUGAUCAAAAUGCAUAAAUUUAAGCUUACAUCUUUAUUUGUUUUUAAUUCUUAAAGUUUUCCGUUGUCUUUUCUUUAUAAUUAUUCCUUUUGUCCCAAAAUUAGAGAUACAUUUUCUUUGUUUGUCCAUUUUAAAAUUAGAGAUACAUUUUUAUUUUAGACCAUAAAGUAACAUGAAGGUCCUAACAUGCCAUUAUUUUUAUUCUUAGUUGAUUGAAUACUAUCAUGCUACUACUAUUUCAAGUUGAUGUUUGGGAGAAGUUUUAAACUGAGAAACUACUUAUCUGACCAUCAAAGCUCAUGUAGAUUGCCUUCUGAUCACUUUUAAAUCUACUAUUAAGUAAUAAAUGUCAGUGUUAGUGUGUUUGAGGGGGGAGAGAAGGAGAGGCAAUAGGGAAAGAGAGUAAUAAUCAUGUAAGGAUACAAAAAAAUGCAUCCAUUUAUUUUAUUUACAUUACCUUUUUACACAGUUGAAAUACUAGUAGCUAGUACUCCUUUUAACCAAAGAAACUAUUAAAAGACAUUUGAAAAUAACAGUAGAAAGGGAAAUUUAGUACAAAACAUAUGACAAAUUUACAGGUGACCGCUUGAACCAACCAUCUUGGUCAACCCGAAGGUUAGUGCCAUAGCCACCCAGCCUCCCAGCAGGACUCUAGCAGAAGGCAUAAUUGGCGGUGCGUUCCCUAAUGCAGCUCCAGCCCACCCAAACCCUGCCAGAGUAACACUCACUGCUGCAAUCACCACCUUGAUUCUCACCUCAUAGCUUGUUACAAAUGCUGCAGCUAGGAGUGGAACCAUUGCACCUAUGGUAAAUGCCAAAGCUGAUGCUGCAGCAGCUCGUGGCGGAUUUGGUAAGUUAUCUUUUCCGUGUUCCACUAAUCGCUCUCUCUCCCCUUCAAAUUCCCUUUCUCUCCGCCUCUCCCUUUGAGCCACUUCUAUGUCAAGUUGUGAGUGAACUGAGACAUAUUCUCCUAUGGCCAUGCUACAAGCUCCACCCACUAAACCGGAAAAUCCGAUUAAGAUCAUGGCCUCAACGUCUUGCUUCACUGCUCCAACCCCCAUCAUCAGUGACGCGGUGGAAACCAACCCAUCGCUGGCUCCUAGGACUGCAGCUCGUAUCGAUUGUGCCCUUUCUGAGUAGUCAAUCUCCGUUUGUCCUUCCAGUUCUUGGUUCCUUUGUUGCUCCAUACCGUUGACAUCAGGGAAGGUGAAUCGGGGAUCAAGAAGAGAUGUGUUGUUAGAAGCCAUUGGAUUUGCUAAUUGAUGAUAGUUUGUAGAAGAAAGAAGAGACCGGAGAGCAGAAGAGAUAGAGGUAUCAGGUAUGUGCUAAACUCACUCUUUCAAGUGCGCUAUUUAUAAGGCAAAAAAUUAUGUUGAACCUUUGGUAAAUGUGGUGAGAGCACUCACAAAGAAGAUUUUAUUGUUUACCAAUUAAAGUAGAACUUACUUUAAUUGGUAAAAAUAUAUUUCAUGAUAAAUUUCAGUUGAAAUAUCUCAAUCUUGGUUGUGUUUGAUUGGGGAGAAAAGAUUUGUAAAAAAUUGCUACCUAAAUUCUUGCGAGUAAAACUGAAACAAGAAACUUUUAUCCCAACUAUAAAUUAUCUUAAUUACUUAGUAAUUGAUUCCCAAUAAACAAAGUUGUGCCUAAGAAAACACACUGCCAUUUACUUCUAUAGCUAGAAUGGUAGUAUCUUCAAGAUAGUUCCAUUAAUGAAAAUUAGAAACUUUGAUUUGCUUGAUAAUUAGGAACGGCCACAAUCCGGAGAGUGUUUAGCAAAACUAUGCACAUUUAAGAUUUACUAUUAGUAGCCAAGUCAUACAUGCAAAGCAUCGGUAACUUUAACCACAGUGAAUGGAGAGAGGAGAUCAACUUCUAGGAAGUUACAGGAGUCGGCAACGAUGUGUGAUAUUGUACACGACAAAGCAAACUAAGCAUGCAUUCCGUGUUCUUUUCCGGUGUUCUUUUGGCCAUGUGCGAAACGAUCUUCUUUUGGAUGAUUCCUUUAUCGUUCAACCAUAUCUCAAAACCAUGGCUGUUCCUCUCUGGUAUUUACUUACUCCUUCAGCCAUAUUUGAAAACCAUGUCUGUUCUUUCUGAGUUUUCUUCAUCCUUUCAGCUAUGUUCGAAAAUGGUGCAAUAUACGUGUCAUACGAAUUCCAUCCAGUUCGUCUGCCAUGGCUAAGUAGGAAUCUUUUACAUCAAAUAACUCUUGCUUUCUCUACUCAUUCCAAAUCCUAAUUUACUUUUAUUGAUGAAAGAUUUUUCAUUAAAAGGAACAUUAGUGCUUAUCCUUGGAGGAAUGGAAGCCAGGAACAGGUGAAAGUAAUAAUAAAUGCCUAAAAUAGCUAGUUUUAGAAAUUGCUUGUGUUUUGUUUCGUUUUCCUUUUUAUUUCUUAAAGUAGCUUAAUACAGAUUUUGAAAAUUAGUUAGUUGCAUGUUUUGGAAUUUUUGAUUUGUAUUAAUACGAAUAAAGUUAUCAAACAAUUGGUAGAAAAGAUUGUUGUCUUUAGGCUGUGAAACCUACAGUUUCAAGUCAUACUCACUCUGUCCAACUUUAGAACCAAUGACCUUUGAUUCGUAACAUAUUCAUGGCAAAUUCGUGCAAUAAUUAGUUAUUUACUGUUUUAGAAAUUCUCUAAGACAUGACAGCUAUAGUUUGCAAGAUUUUUAUAGGACAUGGUAUGCCUAUGUGUUGGAGAUAUGUUGUUAAACAGGAUUUACAAACCUAAAAGGUAGUCGCAAAACUCCAUCCUACCUGCGAACAUAAAACAAAUGUUUUAAAGUCAUGAUCUUACUGUAGAUUAAUCCUUUUAUUUUGCAGAUAAUCCUUCAGUUAAUUUACUCCACAUAAUUCUAAGUUGAAUGAUGUAAUGCAUACCUGCAAUAUCUUGUAUUGGAAGCUGUUUGAAAUAUUUUUUUGAUUUGCGAAAUGGCUAAUAACAGUUACUUAAAUCCCUUACUUGCAUGUUUGAGAUUUGAACAAGAGGAACUAAAAAUUGUAUAACAAAUAUUAUGCCUUAGUAUAUCAAACAUAGUCUAUGCACCAAGUAAACUUGACCCAUGUAUGUGUAGCACCUGCUUCAAUAAAAAUUAUCACCCAACUUAGGUAUGACUGCCAACUUAUGUUAGAUACGAAUGCCACCUAUAAUUGAAUUGACUAUUUUUUAUGAAUGGCUUACCAAUAUAUUUUUAUGCACAGGGGAUUGAAGUUGCGCUCAAUCAACUUUAGAGUGCAUGCAAGCUGCAACGACAUGAGAGCAGGGCAUCCGUAAGUUUUCCAGCACGAGCAGUACAUUUCCGUUAAUUCAACUACUUAGCAGGUUACCACCGUCUUUUUGGGAAGUCAUUUGCCCGAACGGAAGCUUAGCGUCUGUCCAAACGGAAGCGCCCUUUCUGGCAAGCUUAAAACUACGUCGUUUUUGGCUCAAACAGACGCAUCCUUUCUGACAAGCCCAAAACUACGUCGUUUUUUGCCCGAACAGACGCGCCUAUUCUGUAAAGGUCCAAAAUUACGUCGUUUUGACUGAAUAUGUCAUACAUUUUCAUAAGCAUUCUAUGUCUUUUCAAGUGGUUGUGUCCUAUAAAUGGGCUAGAGCGGACAACCAUUUCGAUUAUUCCAUUUCCAAGCAAUUCAAACAUUCUAGUUUUCAUUAUUACAUGAAUUAUUCAUAGUUUAUUUGAAAGAAAAAU
This 6934-nucleotide long non-coding RNA is filed under the name Panax ginseng (ginseng). Its description in RNAcentral is "long non-coding RNA (PGIN_LNC014718)". Lineage: Eukaryota; Viridiplantae; Streptophyta; Magnoliopsida; Apiales; Araliaceae. The record is from RNAcentral.